UAUGUGCUUGGCUGAGGAGCCAAUGGAGUAAAACUAUCAUCUGUGGGAUUAUGGCUGAACGCUUCUGAGUCAGAAUCCUGCCCAUCGGAACGACAGGGAAGCACUGAGGAGCCCUGGCUGGCC
This 123-nucleotide microRNA precursor is filed under the name Mustela putorius furo (domestic ferret). RNAcentral's name for it is "miRNA (ENSMPUG00000022415.1)". Lineage: Eukaryota; Metazoa; Chordata; Mammalia; Carnivora; Mustelidae. The record is from RNAcentral.